Pelobates cultripes (western spadefoot toad) is the source of this 91-nucleotide non-coding RNA. Lineage: Eukaryota; Metazoa; Chordata; Amphibia; Anura; Pelobatidae. The record is from the annotation of a GenBank genome assembly.
CAGUCUGUGUGUGUGUGUGUAUUUAGCAGUCUGUGUGUGUAUUCAGCAGUCUGCUAAAUACAGACAGACUGCUAAGUACACAGACAGACUG